RNAcentral lists this ribosomal RNA (267 nucleotides) under Tomentellopsis bresadolana. Its description in RNAcentral is "Tomentellopsis bresadoliana partial large subunit ribosomal RNA". The record is from RNAcentral. Lineage: Eukaryota; Fungi; Basidiomycota; Agaricomycetes; Thelephorales; Thelephoraceae.
ACGCUUGAAGUCAGUCGCGUCUGCCGGGACUCAGCCUUGCUUCUGCUCGGUGCAUUUUCCGGUUGACGGGCCAGCAUCGAUCUUGACCGUUGGAGAAAGGUGGAGGGAAUGUGGCACCUUCGGGUGUGUUAUAGCCCCCUAUCGUAUGCAACGGUUGGGAUCGAGGACCGCAGCACGCCUUUAUGGCCGGGGUUCGCCCACGUUCGUGCUUAGGAUGCUGGCGUAAUGGCUUUAAGCGACCCGUCUUGAAACACGGACCAAGGAGUC